ACACAUGCAAGUCGAACGAGCGAGAGAGAGCUUGCUUUCUCGAGCGAGUGGCGAACGGGUGAGUAACGCGUGAGGAACCUGCCUCAAAGAGGGGGACAACAGUUGGAAACGACUGCUAAUACCGCAUAAGCCCACGGUGCCGCAUGGCACAGAGGGAAAAGGAGUAAUCCGCUUUGAGAUGGCCUCGCGUCCGAUUAGCUAGUUGGUGAGGUAACGGCCCACCAAGGCGACGAUCGGUAGCCGGACUGAGAGGUUGAACGGCCACAUUGGGACUGAGACACGGCCCAGACUCCUACGGGAGGCAGCAGUGGGGAAUAUUGCACAAUGGGGGAAACCCUGAUGCAGCGACGCCGCGUGGAGGAAGAAGGUCUUCGGAUUGUAAACUCCUGUUGUUGGGGAAGAUAAUGACGGUACCCAACAAGGAAGUGACGGCUAACUACGUGCCAGCAGCCGCGGUAAAACGUAGGUCACAAGCGUUGUCCGGAAUUACUGGGUGUAAAGGGAGCGCAGGCGGGAAGACAAGUUGGAAGUGAAAUCUAUGGGCUCAACCCAUAAACUGCUUUCAAAACUGUUUUUCUUGAGUAGUGCAGAGGUAGGCGGAAUUCCCGGUGUAGCGGUGGAAUGCGUAGAUAUCGGGAGGAACACCAGUGGCGAAGGCGGCCUACUGGGCACCAACUGACGCUGAGGCUCGAAAGUGUGGGUAGCAAACAGGAUUAGAUACCCUGGUAGUCCACACCGUAAACGAUGAUUACUAGGUGUUGGAGGAUUGACCCCUUCAGUGCCGCAGUUAACACAAUAAGUAAUCCACCUGGGGAGUACGACCGCAAGGUUGAAACUCAAAGGAAUUGACGGGGGCCCGCACA
This 863-nucleotide ribosomal RNA is filed under the name uncultured bacterium. RNAcentral's name for it is "bacterial SSU rRNA". It matches the Rfam family "Bacterial small subunit ribosomal RNA", at positions 51 to 927 of the family's 1533-position model. The record is from RNAcentral.